GGUUAAGCGACUAAGCGUACACGGUGGAUGCCCUGGCAGUCAGAGGCGAUGAAGGACGUGCUAAUCUGCGAUAAGCGUCGGUAAGGUGAUAUGAACCGUUAUAACCGGCGAUUUCCGAAUGGGGAAACCCAGUGUGUUUCGACACACUAUCAUUAACUGAAUCCAUAGGUUAAUGAGGCGAACCGGGGGAACUGAAACAUCUAAGUACCCCGAGGAAAAGAAAUCAACCGAGAUUCCCCCAGUAGCGGCGAGCGAACGGGGAGCAGCCCAGAGCCUGAAUCAGUGUGUGUGUUAGUGGAAGCGUCUGGAAAGGCGCGCGAUACAGGGUGACAGCCCCGUACACAAAAAUGCACAUGCUGUGAGCUCGAUGAGUAGGGCGGGACACGUGGUAUCCUGUCUGAAUAUGGGGGGACCAUCCUCCAAGGCUAAAUACUCCUGACUGACCGAUAGUGAACCAGUACCGUGAGGGAAAGGCGAAAAGAACCCCGGCGAGGGGAGUGAAAAAGAACCUGAAACCGUGUACGUACAAGCAGUGGGAGCACGCUUAGGCGUGUGACUGCGUACCUUUUGUAUAAUGGGUCAGCGACUUAUAUUCUGUAGCAAGGUUAACCGAAUAGGGGAGCCGAAGGGAAACCGAGUCUUAACUGGGCGUUAAGUUGCAGGGUAUAGACCCGAAACCCGGUGAUCUAGCCAUGGGCAGGUUGAAGGUUGGGUAACACUAACUGGAGGACCGAACCGACUAAUGUUGAAAAAUUAGCGGAUGACUUGUGGCUGGGGGUGAAAGGCCAAUCAAACCGGGAGAUAGCUGGUUCUCCCCGAAAGCUAUUUAGGUAGCGCCUCGUGAACUCAUCUCCGGGGGUAGAGCACUGUUUCGGCAAGGGGGUCAUCCCGACUUACCAACCCGAUGCAAACUGCGAAUACCGGAGAAUGUUAUCACGGGAGACACACGGCGGGUGCUAACGUCCGUCGUGAAGAGGGAAACAACCCAGACCGCCAGCUAAGGUCCCAAAGUCAUGGUUAAGUGGGAAACGAUGUGGGAAGGCCCAGACAGCCAGGAUGUUGGCUUAGAAGCAGCCAUCAUUUAAAGAAAGCGUAAUAGCUCACUGGUCGAGUCGGCCUGCGCGGAAGAUGUAACGGGGCUAAACCAUGCACCGAAGCUGCGGCAGCGACACUAUGUGUUGUUGGGUAGGGGAGCGUUCUGUAAGCCUGUGAAGGUGUACUGUGAGGUAUGCUGGAGGUAUCAGAAGUGCGAAUGCUGACAUAAGUAACGAUAAAGCGGGUGAAAAGCCCGCUCGCCGGAAGACCAAGGGUUCCUGUCCAACGUUAAUCGGGGCAGGGUGAGUCGACCCCUAAGGCGAGGCCGAAAGGCGUAGUCGAUGGGAAACAGGUUAAUAUUCCUGUACUUGGUGUUACUGCGAAGGGGGGACGGAGAAGGCUAUGUUGGCCGGGCGACGGUUGUCCCGGUUUAAGCGUGUAGGCUGGUUUUCCAGGCAAAUCCGGAAAAUCAAGGCUGAGGCGUGAUGACGAGGCACUACGGUGCUGAAGCAACAAAUGCCCUGCUUCCAGGAAAAGCCUCUAAGCAUCAGGUAACAUCAAAUCGUACCCCAAACCGACACAGGUGGUCAGGUAGAGAAUACCAAGGCGCUUGAGAGAACUCGGGUGAAGGAACUAGGCAAAAUGGUGCCGUAACUUCGGGAGAAGGCACGCUGAUAUGUAGGUGAAGCGACUUGCUCGUGGAGCUGAAAUCAGUCGAAGAUACCAGCUGGCUGCAACUGUUUAUUAAAAACACAGCACUGUGCAAACACGAAAGUGGACGUAUACGGUGUGACGCCUGCCCGGUGCCGGAAGGUUAAUUGAUGGGGUUAGCGCAAGCGAAGCUCUUGAUCGAAGCCCCGGUAAACGGCGGCCGUAACUAUAACGGUCCUAAGGUAGCGAAAUUCCUUGUCGGGUAAGUUCCGACCUGCACGAAUGGCGUAAUGAUGGCCAGGCUGUCUCCACCCGAGACUCAGUGAAAUUGAACUCGCUGUGAAGAUGCAGUGUACCCGCGGCAAGACGGAAAGACCCCGUGAACCUUUACUAUAGCUUGACACUGAACAUUGAGCCUUGAUGUGUAGGAUAGGUGGGAGGCUUUGAAGUGUGGACGCCAGUCUGCAUGGAGCCGACCUUGAAAUACCACCCUUUAAUGUUUGAUGUUCUAACGUUGACCCGUAAUCCGGGUUGCGGACAGUGUCUGGUGGGUAGUUUGACUGGGGCGGUCUCCUCCUAAAGAGUAACGGAGGAGCACGAAGGUUGGCUAAUCCUGGUCGGACAUCAGGAGGUUAGUGCAAUGGCAUAAGCCAGCUUGACUGCGAGCGUGACGGCGCGAGCAGGUGCGAAAGCAGGUCAUAGUGAUCCGGUGGUUCUGAAUGGAAGGGCCAUCGCUCAACGGAUAAAAGGUACUCCGGGGAUAACAGGCUGAUACCGCCCAAGAGUUCAUAUCGACGGCGGUGUUUGGCACCUCGAUGUCGGCUCAUCACAUCCUGGGGCUGAAGUAGGUCCCAAGGGUAUGGCUGUUCGCCAUUUAAAGUGGUACGCGAGCUGGGUUUAGAACGUCGUGAGACAGUUCGGUCCCUAUCUGCCGUGGGCGCUGGAGAACUGAGGGGGGCUGCUCCUAGUACGAGAGGACCGGAGUGGACGCAUCACUGGUGUUCGGGUUGUCAUGCCAAUGGCACUGCCCGGUAGCUAAAUGCGGAAGAGAUAAGUGCUGAAAGCAUCUAAGCACGAAACUUGCCCCGAGAUGAGUUCUCCCUGACCCUUUAAGGGUCCUGAAGGAACGUUGAAGACGACGACGUUGAUAGGCCGGGUGUGUAAGCGCAGCGAUGCGUUGAGCUAACCGGUACUAAUGAACCGUGAGGCUUAACCUU
Molecule: ribosomal RNA, 2903 nt
Filed under: Escherichia coli
Lineage: Bacteria; Pseudomonadati; Pseudomonadota; Gammaproteobacteria; Enterobacterales; Enterobacteriaceae
Description: 23S ribosomal RNA
Rfam family: Bacterial large subunit ribosomal RNA
Source: RNAcentral